Molecule: transfer RNA, 74 nt
Filed under: Bathyagonus infraspinatus (spinycheek starsnout)
Lineage: Eukaryota; Metazoa; Chordata; Actinopteri; Perciformes; Agonidae
Description: tRNA-Asp
Rfam family: tRNA
About the family: Transfer RNA (tRNA) molecules are approximately 80 nucleotides in length. Their secondary structure includes four short double-helical elements and three loops (D, anti-codon, and T loops).
Source: RNAcentral
AAGACACUAGUAAAAUAGCACAAUUACACCGCCUUGUCAAGGCAGACUUGUGGGUUAAAAUCCCGCGUGUCUUA